CACUCUAAGCAGUUCGCAGGGAGCAUCUUUGAGCAGCUGGAACAGCUUUGCGGCCUUGCUGUAAUGAAGAUCUGCCAGCACCCGGUGUUGUUUCCUAAGGUGUUCAUCACCAACCUAGAACCAAACCAAAACAAGCAACAAAUCCUUCACGAUAGUGCCCAGGCUGGACUUGAACUCCUUGCUGGGCUUAAGUGAUCCUCCUGCCUCAGCCUCCUGAAUAGGAAGUGGAGCCAGAAUCCACAGAUGUCAUUAUCCAUCUGCACACUUUGUUUACUACCCAGAAGGCAAGAAUAUUGCAUUUUAAAAGUGCCUAGACUUUUGUUCUUUCUUAUCACAAAUGACUUGGGAAGCUCCGACCACUCAUGUUUACCCCGAGUGAAAGUCCCAUUCAAAGCCUUGCUUCCUGGAGAGCUUUGAGAUUCUGGUUCAAAAGGCAUUUUAUAAGCACAAAGUGGAAAAGCAUCAUUCAUAUUCAUUUGCUGCUGCGGCAUUUCUCCCUGGAUUCUUCCUCUUGUCUGUCAACAUUGGGCAAAAGGACUGGCCUCAUCUACAUUACAGAUAUCCU
RNAcentral lists this non-coding RNA (565 nucleotides) under Pongo abelii (Sumatran orangutan). The record is from RNAcentral. Lineage: Eukaryota; Metazoa; Chordata; Mammalia; Primates; Hominidae.